This 433-nucleotide ribosomal RNA is filed under the name uncultured bacterium. RNAcentral's name for it is "bacterial SSU rRNA". It matches the Rfam family "Bacterial small subunit ribosomal RNA", at positions 917 to 1350 of the family's 1533-position model. The record is from RNAcentral.
GGGCCCGCACAAGUGGUGGAGCAUGUGGUUUAAUUCGAUGCAACGCGAAGAACCUUACCAACCCUUGAAAUCUAGCGAAGUUCACAGAGAUGAGAAUGUGCCUUCGGGAACGCUAUGACAGGUGUUGCAUGGCUGUCGUCAGCUCGUGUCGUGAGAUGUAUGGUUAAGUCCAGUAACGAGCGCAACCCCUAUCCUUAUUUGCCAACGCGUUAAGGCGGGAACUAUAGGGAGACUGCCGGGUGAAACCCGGAGGAAGGCGGGGACGAGGUCAAGUCAUCAUGGCCCUUAUGGGUUGGGCUACACACGUGCUACAAUGGGAAGUACAGAGGGACGCUAAAGCGCGAGCUGGAGCCAAACCCUUAAAACUUUUCUAGUCCGGAUUGGAGUCUGCAACUCGACUCCAUGAAGUCGGAAUCACUAGUAAUCGCGAAUC